GCCGGGUGCGGUGGCUCGUGCCUGUAGUUCCAGCUACUCAGGAGGCUGAGGUGGGAGGAUCGCUUGAGCCCAGGAGUUCUGCGCUGUAGUGUGCUAUGCUGAUCGGGUGUCCGCACUAAAUUUGGCAACAAUAUGGUGAUCUCCUGGGAGCAGGGGACCACCAGGUUGCCUAAGGAGGGGUAAACUGGCCCAGGUCGGAAACGGAGCAGGUCAAAACUCCCGUGCUGAUCAGUAGCGGGAUCGCGCCUGUCAAUAGCCACUGCGCUCCAGACUGGGCAACAUAGCAAGACCCUGUCUCU
This 299-nucleotide signal recognition particle RNA is filed under the name Aotus nancymaae (Ma's night monkey). RNAcentral's name for it is "Metazoan signal recognition particle RNA (ENSANAG00000009504.1)". It matches the Rfam family "Metazoan signal recognition particle RNA". From Rfam's summary of the family: The signal recognition particle (SRP) is a universally conserved ribonucleoprotein. Lineage: Eukaryota; Metazoa; Chordata; Mammalia; Primates; Aotidae. The record is from RNAcentral.